Molecule: ribosomal RNA, 372 nt
Filed under: uncultured organism
Description: bacterial SSU rRNA
Rfam family: Bacterial small subunit ribosomal RNA
Source: RNAcentral
CGUAGGUGGCAAGCGUUGUCCGGAGUUACUGGGUGUAAAGGGCGUGUAGGCGGGAAAAUAAGUCAGAUGUGAAAUUCCAUGGCUCAACUGUGGCGCUGCAUCUGAAACUAUUUUUCUUGAGUGAUGGAGAGGAAAGCGGAAUUCCUAGUGUAGCGGUGAAAUGCGUAGAUAUUAGGAGGAACACCAGUGGCGAAGGCGGCUUUCUGGACAUUAACUGACGCUGAGGCGCGAAAGCGUGGGGAGCAAACAGGAUUAGAUACCCUGGUAGUCCACGCUGUAAACGAUGGAUACUAGGUGUAGGAGGUAUCGACCCCUUCUGUGCCGGAGUUAACACAAUAAGUAUCCCACCUGGGGAGUACGGCCGCAAGGUUG